AACGCGAAGAACCUUACCUGGUCUUGACAUCCACGGAAGUUUUCAGAGAUGAGAAUGUGCCUUCGGGAACCGUGAGACAGGUACUGCAUGGCUGUCGUCAGCUCGUGUUGUGAAAUGUUGGGUUAAGUCCCGCAACGAGCGCAACCCUUAUCCUUUGUUGCCAGCGGUCCGGCCGGGAACUCAAAGGAGACUGCCAGUGAUAAACUGGAGGAAGGUGGGGAUGACGUCAAGUCAUCAUGGCCCUUACGACCAGGGCUACACACGUGCUACAAUGGCGCAUACAAAGAGAAGCGACCUCGCGAGAGCAAGCGGACCUCAUAAAGUGCGUCGUAGUCCGGAUUGGAGUCUGCAACUCGACUCCAUGAAGUCGGAAUCGCUAGUAAUCGUGGAUCAGAAUGCCACGGUGAAUACGUUCCCGGGCCUUGUACACACCG
This 434-nucleotide ribosomal RNA is filed under the name uncultured bacterium. RNAcentral describes it as "bacterial SSU rRNA". It matches the Rfam family "Bacterial small subunit ribosomal RNA", at positions 958 to 1392 of the family's 1533-position model. The record is from RNAcentral.